GAUGAAGAACGUAGCGAAAUGCGAUACUUGGUGUGAAUUGCAGAAUCCCGUGAACCAUCGAGUCUUUGAACGCAAGUUGCGCCCGAAGCCAUCAGGUUGAGGGCACGUCUGCCUGGGCGUCACAUAUCGUUGCCCAAUGCCUAUUGCAGUGCAAUAGGAAUUUCUAGGGCGAAUGAUGGCUUCCCGUGAGCGUUGUUGCCUCGCGGUUGGUUGAAAAUCGAGUCCUUGGUAGGGUGUGGCAUGGUAGAUGGUGGUCGAGUUAGAACGAUACCGAUCAUGUGCAUGCUCCCCAAAAUAUGGCCUCUAUGACCCACACGCGUCUUUUGACGCUCAUGACGAGACCUCAGGUCAGGCGGGGCUACCCGCUGAAUUUAAGCAUAUCAAUGAGCGGAGGA
RNAcentral lists this unclassified non-coding RNA (395 nucleotides) under soil metagenome. RNAcentral's name for it is "partial contains 5.8S ribosomal RNA, internal transcribed spacer 2, and large subunit ribosomal RNA". The stretch from base 1 to 122 matches the Rfam family "5.8S ribosomal RNA", at positions 35 to 154 of the family's 154-position model. The record is from RNAcentral.